This 68-nucleotide microRNA precursor is filed under the name Caenorhabditis briggsae. RNAcentral describes it as "Cbr-Mir-77-P1_pre stem-loop". Lineage: Eukaryota; Metazoa; Nematoda; Chromadorea; Rhabditida; Rhabditidae. The record is from RNAcentral.
GAUAGCUGUGCUCUGAGGAAAUAACAAUAGUCACACCCCAUGUCAUUUCAUCAGGCCAUAGCUGUCCA